UCUAUCACUCCCCUUGGUUCUUUCCUCGGGUGUUAUUGACGCCGUUUCAUGUCGGUGCGUUGUUAGUGGUUCCCGUUUGUUUAUUGAAACACUCACUCCCUGUUCUUGCUUUCCGACUCUCAGCGCAAAGAACGGCCACCAGAAUUGCAGGAGCACGGCUACAGCUUGAUAAAGUGGAAUAUUGCAGGGGCCCCGUGAAUGAGGCGUUUGGUAAAAAAAAAUCUCUGGAGGUUGUUGCAGAGAAAAAGUCACAAUGUAGAACUGGCGCCAGCACAUGAUGCAGCAUUCUUUCCCCUUCGUGUGGCGGAUUCACCCAUGCUUGCAAAGUCUGACGCAUUUUAUUACACCUUACACGAUUAUGCUGAUUGCCCCACCGUAAGAACCUGGAGAUCUUCACUGGUUCUGAGGGCGGUGACGUGGCCACAAACAGUGCCUGGGACACUUUCAGCUCUACCGCUGUCUAUAGAGCAGUCAGAGGGUGGUCAAGACAUCUGCUGCAACUUCGUGUCAGCUCUGCUUCACCUGGGAGCUAAAGAGCCCUUCCUCACCACCUCCAUCACUACAACUGAUUGUCCAGCCUGCUGAGAGGGUCCUGCACAACUCCAGGGCAAGGAAGCGUGCAGGAAAGAUUAUUGUCAACCCCUUCCACCAUCUUCCAAAGACUCCCCUCUGGCAAAUACCAAAACCUCCUGCCACCUGAACAGUUUCGUCCCCUGUGCUGUCGUCCUCUCUAACCGGCCACCUGGUCCACAAUGAUCCUCUCAUCCAUGGAAUUUGCACUCUGUUCUAGUCAUCCACAGACUAUGCACCCUGCACUGUCAUCCCAGAACUGCACAUUGCUCUUUGCACUCUGCCCAUCUCUUACAGAGAAUUUGGCAGUACGUCCAACCGGCCUCACAAUUACAGACCACAUGUAACUACGCCAGCCAAGGGACCUCCAAAUCCGGCUUCUUCAACUGUGGCAUCGUCUGAGACCAUCCACCGGACGGACAGCUGAUCAAACUGAGGAGUAUUUAUGUUUGUAAUAAAACAAAUUCUGAUUGGCUGGGCCUGGCUCCCAAGUGGGUAGGCCCAUGCCCUCCCAGGUCCACCCGUGGCUGCACCCCUGCCCAGUCAUGUGAAAUCCAUAGAUUAGGGCCUAAUGUAUUCAUUUAAAUUGACUGAUUUCCUUAUAUGAACUGUAUUUUUUCUUCGGUAUACUUCCUUCGGUAUAUCAUUCAUUUUUUAAACUGGUACCGGGGGACCAUCAGACGAGUCUUGUGAGGCCUUUGGGCGUCCUAGAGCAAAUCAUGUACAUGUCUGUGUUCAUGAGAGUCUCAUCUUUCCAUAGAGGGGUCAUAAUAAUUUUAUCGGACUCUACAGAUGAUUUUGUGAGAAGACCGAUCUUCAGGAUGUCCCAUGGUCUGACAAACACACUCUAGCUCUGUCACCUUUCACCGCAGAUGCGGAAGUGCGACAUAGGCAGAUGUGGUGGAUAGAGACGCAUCCAAUGGUAUAAAACAGAUAUGUCUAGCUUAAAAAUGACAGAUGUUGUAUUAUGCUAAUUUGAUUUCCGCGGGGAUGCGAACAUCGACCUUAUUAAGUAGUGAUAACUUGUUUCCUCUGCUAGAAGGGAGAGAAACAGAGCCAGACUGUACAGUGAAGCAGAGCCAGAGAGCAUUAUGUCAAUAAUGUGCAGCAGUAAAUCACUUCAAAUACUUAAUCUUCUGUUUGACUGAGCUUGCCUGCUUUAAUGGACCAAUAGAAUGAUCCUAAAACUAAAACCGCCACUCUGGCAAUCUAGGCACUAGAAAGCUAGCGCAAAACGCUCAAAGUAUAUGAAAGAUUUCAAAUACCCAGGUCUCGUGUGUGUGUACCCUCUGUACUUUAUGCUGCGUGGUAAUGAUAACGUGUAUUGAACUGAAGAUGGCUGCCCCUUUGGCCCAGUAUGAAUAACACUAUCAGCCAGAGCAGGAAGUCAUUAAGAAUGCACAUAUCCCCACCGAGACACAGUGGCCACUAGGAUGCUUAUGCAUGAAGGUUUGUAUUACUGUUUGUAUGUUUGUGUGUGUGCCCUAAUCUAAGUGUGUGAGUGAGAGUGUGAAAUUGUCUGUGAGAAUACUGUGUGAGAGAGAACGAGGGAAAGAAUAUUGUGUAUCUGACAAUGAGUCUGCCUGUGUAUGUGGGCCUGUGUGCAUGUAUGACUGUUGGUCAACCGUGUAUGGUUGUUUGUGUGUGUGUUUGUCCUAGUCUUAGUGUGUGUUCGAGCCAAUGGCAAGUUGAGCAAAUUGAAGUGUUUUCUUCCCAGGCGUAAUGCAAAGCAGGAUCGCUGGUAUAUGAGGUAACAACAGGGCCUGGCCUAUGUUAAAAGUGAAAAAAGUACAACGUGUUUGUUAAGUGUUUGUGUUAUAAUGUGAUUGUAUUGAAAUGUGUUUUGGAAAUAAAGAUGUAAAUGGUU
Molecule: non-coding RNA, 2437 nt
Organism: Oncorhynchus mykiss (rainbow trout)
Lineage: Eukaryota; Metazoa; Chordata; Actinopteri; Salmoniformes; Salmonidae
Source: RefSeq, a predicted model, not a curated record